UUGGUCCUACGGGAGGCAGCAGUGAGGAAUAUUGGUCAAUGGGCGCGAGCCUGAACCAGCCAAGUCGCGUGAGGGAAGACGGUCCUAUGGAUUGUAAGCCUCUUUUGUCGGGGAGCAAAAGACGCCACGUGUGGCGUUCCGAGAGUACCCGAAGAAAAAGCAUCGGCUAACUCCGUGCCAGGAGCCGCGGUAAUACGGAGGAUGCGAGCGUUAUCCGGAUUUAUUGGGUUUAAAGGGUGCGCAGGCGGACGAUCAAG
RNAcentral lists this ribosomal RNA (257 nucleotides) under uncultured bacterium. RNAcentral describes it as "partial 16S ribosomal RNA". It matches the Rfam family "Bacterial small subunit ribosomal RNA", at positions 333 to 587 of the family's 1533-position model. The record is from RNAcentral.